This 507-nucleotide ribosomal RNA is filed under the name uncultured bacterium. RNAcentral's name for it is "bacterial SSU rRNA". It matches the Rfam family "Bacterial small subunit ribosomal RNA", at positions 30 to 528 of the family's 1533-position model. The record is from RNAcentral.
AUUGAACGCUGGCGGCAUGCCUUACACAUGCAAGUCGAACGGUAACAGGUCUUCGGAUGCUGACGAGUGGCGAACGGGUGAGUAAUACAUCGGAACGUGCCCGAUCGUGGGGGAUAACGCAGCGAAAGCUGUGCUAAUACCGCAUACGAUCUACGGAUGAAAGCGGGGGAUCGCAAGACCUCGCGCGGACGGAGCGGCCGAUGGCAGAUUAGGUAGUUGGUGGGAUAAAAGCUUACCAAGCCGACGAUCUGUAGCUGGUCUGAGAGGACGACCAGCCACACUGGGACUGAGACACGGCCCAGACUCCUACGGGAGGCAGCAGUGGGGAAUUUUGGACAAUGGGGGAAACCCUGAUCCAGCCAUGCCGCGUGCAGGAUGAAGGCCUUCGGGUUGUAAACUGCUUUGUACGGAACGAAAGGUACCUUUCUAAUAAAGAGGGACGUCAUGACGGUACCGUAAGGAAUAAGCACCGGCUAACUACGUGCCAGCAGCCGCGGUAAUCAACGG